This 78-nucleotide microRNA precursor is filed under the name Chlorocebus sabaeus (green monkey). RNAcentral's name for it is "miRNA (ENSCSAG00000021765.1)". Lineage: Eukaryota; Metazoa; Chordata; Mammalia; Primates; Cercopithecidae. The record is from RNAcentral.
CACACGGCCCCCCCGAUCAUGGAUCCGGGCAGUGGCGGCGGCGGCGGCGGCGGCGGCGGCGGCGGGAGCAGCAGCGGC